This 67-nucleotide transfer RNA is filed under the name Aspilodemon sp. RDB-2000. RNAcentral describes it as "tRNA-Asp". The record is from RNAcentral. Lineage: Eukaryota; Metazoa; Arthropoda; Insecta; Hymenoptera; Braconidae.
AAAAAAUUAGUUAAUUGAUAUAACAAUAAAUUGUCAAUUUAUAAUAAUUAUUAUAUAAUAUUUUUUU